UGGGGAAUAUUGGACAAUGGGCGAAAGCCUGAUCCAGCAAUGCCGCGUGUGUGAAGAAGGCCUUCGGGUUGUAAAGCACUUUCAGUGGGGAAGAAAUGCUCAGUGUUAAUAGCACUGAGAGCUGACAUUACCCACAGAAGAAGCACCGGCUAACUCUGUGCCAGCAGCCGCGGUAAUACAGAGGGUGCUAGCGUUAAUCGGAAUUACUGGGCGUAAAGCGCGCGUAGGCGGAUGUUUUAGUCGGGUGUGAAAUCCCUGGGCUCAACCUAGGAAUUGCAUUCGAAACUGGACAUCUGGAGUAUGGUAGAGGAAAGUGGAAUUCCCGGUGUAGCGGUGAAAUGCGUAGAUAUCGGGAAGAACAUCAGUGGCGAAGGCGGCUUUCUGGACCAAUACUGACGCUGAGGUGCGAAAGCGUGGGGAGCAAACAGG
Molecule: ribosomal RNA, 429 nt
Filed under: uncultured bacterium
Lineage: Bacteria
Description: bacterial SSU rRNA
Rfam family: Bacterial small subunit ribosomal RNA
Source: RNAcentral